AGUGACAGGUCAUGAAAGAUAAAGCUACAGACCCACUGGAGAUGUGGGCCAGCCGAAGUUUCAACCAGAUGUCGCCAGAGUGGCCAGUCUCCCCCAGGCAAAGCAAAGCAAAGCGAUAGUUCCUGGACAACUCCUUUCGUGGUGGACUUCCUGAGGCCCUCUGCGCCGGCUCCCAGCUCUACAGAGCUUGUUCCUGGGGACCAGUUACUCCAGGCUUUGGAUCUCCCCACCUCAAUAGUUCGCAGGGAAGUUCUCCAUCAUUCCACUGGGGCCAGGCCUUGGGUUCCACUCCAGAAGCCCCGAAGCACCCUUCCUCCUGUCCAGAGUCCUCUCUCCUACCUACUUGGGCUUAGGCUCAGCCCACAUGUGGGCUGGGAGGGGAUGGAAGAGACAGGUGGGCCCCUAGAUGCACUGGCUGGAUUGCAGACAUAUUUAUGCUCCAUUUCUAAUGUCUGGUCCUUCCUGUGGUCCCACUGAUGGGGGAACAGAAAGGAAACAGGAGGGGGCUGGGGUGACAGGCACAGCCCACUAGGCUGCCCUCCUCUGCCUCACCCUCCCUCGCCUGGGCCCCAGCUGAGCCCAUCAUCAGAGGCCUCCAGGAGCUGGGGCCACAGUCUGCGUGGGUCUGCCCCUCCCCUCACCCCAGCCUAGAAGACUCCACCUCUCCCAGGUCCUGGCUGGGAUCCGAAGGCCCCGGGCAAGUGGGGGAAGGGGAGCCACUCCUACUUUCCCAGCAGCUGCUGCUGCCUCUUCCUGUUUUGCUAAAACUUUGGCUCCGGACCCAAGGGGGUGGGGGAAAGUCGCCAGGCGCUCUCGCCCCCCCCCAAAGGUCAAACUCAUCCCCCUGGUCCUCUUAGCUAGUUAUUUAUAGCUCCCCAGGCCCUGGCUGAGGAGCUACAUCUCUCCUCCCCCAAAUGUCAGCAGCUGUGGCCAUUGCCCCAGGGAUGCAGCCAGAUGUGCUGAUCACUCCAGAUGCGCAGUGCCAGGAUUUGGGAGCGCAGGCCAGGCCCUUUCUCCUGGACAUUCCCUGCUGCCUGGUUCAUCCUCCACUCUGAGUCAACAAACCUGAGUCCUGGGGGAUGGGGGGACAUCAGGAAGUUCCCACCUAUUUUCUCCACUCCCAUAGCCUGAUCCCAAGACGGGACAGCUCGGGCUAUAGACCCACGUGGAUGUCUUUGCAUAAAUUAGGACAGGACUCAUUUGGAGACUGGAUUUGUAGAAGUCAGCUGCAGUUCAGAGGGACAGAAGCGUCAGGAUGCUGGAUGCUGUCUUCUUACUAACGUCAGCACGGAGAUCCACUCCUGAGAGUCCAGCGUCCAAAGAGCAGGCUCUGCGAUUCUUUUCUUUGGCUACAUCCUGCUCUCCAGGAGAUGAUGAAUUCCCCAGGGAGAGGACUGCAGCUUCCUUUGCCUCUGUGCCAGGAAGUUGCUCAACAAAUAAGAGAUUAUACGUAAUGAAAAAGAGUUGAAGUCAGUGGUGGUCACGUGUGGGUGGAUCCUUCAAGGUUGUAGCAAGGGGAGAAGUCCAAACCCAUCCUAAAAGACACUCCUGGCAAAGAGAGUGUCAGGACCUCCUCAAACGCUUGCCUAGAGAUUCCAAGGCCUGAGGUAAGUGAUUCCAAAGGGAACCAGUAAGAUCAGAACAAGGUGAGGUCCUACCCUCCAGCCAAUACAGUCCUUGAGGCUACAGAAGGUCCUGCUGCGGCCUGUUGCAAGGCUGAACUCCCGAGCCCACCAGUGGGUGGACCACAGCAUCCCUGCAGGGGCCACUGGAGCACGUAAUUGUGAGCUGGCUACAGAAAGGCAUUUUGCAACUCAGACGAAUUUCUUCUCGCUCAUGAUUAGGGUAUGGCCCAGUGGCUGCCUCCCUGACUGUAAUCUCUGCUGGCACAGGCAUCUCCGGGGCUGGGCAGUGGGGGCUGUGGAAGGAGGGCUGACCUAGAAGCCUGGACGCCGGAGUUCUCUGCCCGCUCCUCGCCAGGGAUUAACCAUGGCAUGGCUGGCAGGGAGACUGGGUUCUCAGUUUCCUCAUCUGUAAAAGGAGUGAUGUGAUUAGAUUAGAGCGGCCCAAACCUAACCACACCUUAGGAUUACCUGGGGAGCUUCAGAUUACUAGGUACUCCCUUCACCCCUUGCAUCUGCUGGGGGCUGUGAGAUGGCCCAGGAAUCUGUUUUUCACAGGCUCUUCUACAUGAUUUUUUUGGGGCCACACCCACAGCCUGUGGAAGUUCUGGGGCCAGGGAUCGAACCUGCGACCCUAGCCACUGCAGUGACAAUGCCGGAUUCUUAACCUGCUGAGCCACAGGGAAACUCCUACAGGAUUUUGACAUAAUGUCAAGUAUGGGGGAUCCUACAGACUAUAAAUAUAAAUAGACUGUAAAUAUAAAUCACUUGCAGCUCUUAGGAGAAAAGAUUCUAGUAAAUGGAAUGGCUGUAACAAGAGGCUUUGGUGCUGUGGGGUUUUAUCAGAGGGCAAAUGGUGGGUAGUUUAUUUCAUCAUCAUCAUCACCAUCAAUUACUAUUUUUUCCAGGCCUUUUUUGGCUGCACCUGCAGCAUGCAAAAGCAUGCGGGGCCAGGGAUCAAACCAGCACCCCCGUGGUGACAACACCAGAUCCUUAACCCGCUGCACCACCAGGGAACCCCUCCAGUUUUAUUGAGAUAUAAUUGACCUACAUCACUGUGUAAGGUGUACAGCGCAAUUUGAUUUACAUACAUCAGGAAAGGGUUAUCAGACUAAGUUUAGUAAAUAUGUAUCAACUCAUAUAGAUACAAAAUUAAAGAAAUGGAAACACCCUUUUCUUCCUGCGAGCAGAGGACUCAGGAUUGAGGCCCUCGCUUACCUCAAGGCUGGAGCCGGGCUGGGAGAGAAGGGAAGGGAGGAAUGGGCCGUCCCUGUAGGUGGGGCCUCUUGGCACGGGGACCUUUCUCUCUCACUCUCCUGGGUGGAGUUUGGCUGCACGGGCUUUGGCACCAGCCUCUGGAGCUGAGAGAGUGUCUUCCCAUCCGUAUUCCUCCCCCACUUCGGUUUCAGCCCAGAGGACAGCCCCCUUCUCCUCCUCCUGCCCUGACUUCCUCCCCAGGCUCCCUCACCAACCUCAUUCCUAAGCCUCGCUAAUCUGUUUGCCACCCUCUGCUUCCUUGCCUCGCCCUUGCUCAUGCCAUUCUCUCCACCUGGAAUGUCACCCCCGCCCCCCAACACCGAUUCACAUUUCUGGGCUCCUUCGAAACCCAGCUCCAGACUGGCUGACGUCGUUGGAGCUGUGAUCUGCCCAGGUCGCUCCUCUUCACGAUAGACUCAUUUAUGCUUGAAAUCACAGAAUCAGAGAACAGCUUUAGACUCAGAAAGAAAUAAGUACAGAUGACCUAAACCAGCUCUCGCAUUCAAUGGACAGAAACCCUGAGGCCCAGAGAGGUCUUGACUCGGCCAAGGUCACACAGUCGUGAGGUUUGCUGGUGGUGGUGGUGGCGGCGAACAGUUGGCUUCACAAGAGGCUUUCAAGUAUCCUACGUCUUUGUUUUAUUUCCUCGACACGUGGUGAUGCCUAUGAGGGCAGAGGUGAUGUUGCUGUUUUAAUUGGUGUUCUUAAGCUCCACGGUGCUGUGUAUGUGCAGGCAACUGUAAUAGUUCUAAAACUCGCAGGGGUGCACAUUUUGCAUAUGAUCUCAGACCAGCCCUGAGCGGUAGGUCACCAAGGCAUUGCUAUCUUACUGAGCAGGAAACUGAGACUUAGAAAGGUGUGACCCAGGAAGUUAAUGGCAGAACCGGGGCCAAAACGCAAGUUCCCUGCCUCCCAGCCUCAGCCCAGGACCCUGACACCCAUGAUGCUGUUCUUCUAGAGCCUUCCUGAGGUUCCCGGCAGGGGACCUAGAGUAGUCAAAGGGGUGGCCUCCGCCGUCUUUCGCCUUCCUUGUGAUUUCUUCACUUUGGGGUUGAGCAGACCUUGCCUCUGGCCUCCUACCCCUCCCCAUCCUGUCCCACCGCGUUCUCCUUGUGUCCCCCCACAGCCUGUUGGCACAUUGACCCAUACGCAUACAUGCUCAGAGCUGCAGGUGUCUAGGGCAACAGACCACAGGGGAAACCACAUCACCUUUGUUGACACUGGAGGGAGGCAGGGGGGCCGGGAAAGAACCUGCUUACGUCUCUCCACCUGCCUCUGUCCCCGCAGUCAUCUCACCUCCCAGCCUGGUGGGUCAUCUGGACUUGACCCAUGGCCCAGCCUCUUCCUGAGGACCCAUCCAAACCUGGCCCGGGAGGAUGUAUCGCCCCUUCUCACAGAUCCUGAAAUCCUGGAGGGAGGUGGGGCGGUCUGCCUAGCUGCACCCCAAAGCCACACCCCCAAUCCUAGCCAGUUUACUGACCUAGCUCCUCUGAUUCCACCUGCGCAGUGCAGCAGACAAAGGUGGAAACCAGGAAUGAGAGGACAUGGCUGGGGGUCGGUAAGGAAGGAAAUUUGACAUCUAGGCCAUCACUCCUACAUCAAAGGGGACCGCUAGGGAGUUCCUGUCGUGGCUCAGCGGUUAAUGAACCCAACUGGCAUCCAUGAGGACGCAGGUUCGGUCCCUGGCCUCGCUCUGUGGGUUAAGGAUCAGGUGUUGCCGUGAGCUGUGGUUUAGGCCGGUGGCUACAGCUCCAAUUAGACCCCUAGUCUGGGAACCUCCACACGCCGCAGGUGCGGCCCUAAAAAGACAAAAAGACACCAAAAAAAGGUGGAGGGGGGACCUCUAGUAACCAGGCUACACGGGAUCUGUGGUGUUUGGACCUGCUGAAAGAAGCUGCACAGGCUCUGAAUCAGGCCCAUUUGGGAUUAAGUCACUUGCUGGCUCUGUGGCCUUGGGCAAAUCAUUUUGUGUUUCUGAGCUUUAGUUUGCUAACUAAAACAAUGGGGAUAAUAAUGAGAUAUAAGUGAAAGGUCCUGGAACAGCACAGGAUACCAAGGAGACGCUCAAUAAAUCCUAAUUACCCUCCCUCCCUCCUUUCCUUCCACUUGUUGCAUCUGGCUCCAUGAAACCCUUUAUUUGGAAUUGGAGCUCUACCUCCCCUAUUUACGUGCAAGUCCAAACCCUGAGCAUUGGCAUCUGAUCCCAGGUUCAGAAACAGGAAUGCACAUCCCCACAGCCCAAGGAAGUGGCUGUCCCUCGGAGAGUGCACCCAGGCCAAGGACGAACACCUUCUGAUCGGCCUUGUGGAGAGGGUGUGAGAAGUCCAGGUUAGGAAAGGGCUUGUGGCUUCAGACACCACAUCGAGAAAGCGGGUCAGGAAUGGUCUCAGAGGCCUGCGGUUUAGACCGAUGCCUUCGGAUGGAGCUUUGAACCCUGGCACAAGGUGGGCGCCCAAUAACACUUGUUGAAUGAACGCAUGGCCUCAGCACUUACUAGUUGUGUAACGUUGGUCAUGUUUCUCAACUUUUAUGAGUCGCACUUUAAUCACAAACAUAACAAGGAUUACUGCUAAGAAUAAAUGAUCUCAUGUUUGCCAGGGGGCUGGCAUAGGGCUGCUGCAUGGCACACAGUCAGUAAAUGGUAGCUAAGUAAGGGGAUGUGAGAUAAACGAGAAAGAGAAGGUCAAAGAGGCUCAGAACCCCAAAGCAAGCGGAAGGUGGCUGCCUUCAGGCUUCGUACUGGCCAGAGACUCCAAGAAGACUCUGGGGAGCCAAGGCAGGUCCUGUGGGGCUAAUCUCUUCUGCUAGGUGCUUAGCUGAGCAGUCUGUGAGAGGCCUGGACUCAAGAGCCUUAAAAAAAAAAAAAAAAAAAAAAAAAAAAAA
RNAcentral lists this long non-coding RNA (5762 nucleotides) under Sus scrofa (pig). RNAcentral's name for it is "lncRNA (ENSSSCG00030009290.1)". Lineage: Eukaryota; Metazoa; Chordata; Mammalia; Artiodactyla; Suidae. The record is from RNAcentral.